UGGCCAUGACAUGUAUAAAAUGUAUAUUAAGGAGGAAUUAUAAAGUACUUUAAUUUGAAUGCUAGUGGCAAUUUACCAUAAAGAAAGUACUUUAAAACAAAAGGUUAAUGGGUCAUCUGGGAAAUACUAAUUUGAAGUAUCAGAGGUAUUUGCACGUGAAUGUGGGUUAUGUUCUAUCCCACCUUGUAACAUAUUCUAUGAAAGUUGAGUUAAAUGAUAGCUGAAAUAUGUUUUAACAGCAUGUAAAAAGUUAUUUUACCUGUUACAAGUCAUUAUACAAUUUUGAAUGUUAUGUAGUUUCUUUUUAACAGUUUAGGUUAAAAGGUCUGUUUUCAUUCUGGUGCUCUUACUAAUUUUGAUAGUAUGAUGUUACUCACUGUUGCAAUGUAAGCUAGCGUGUACGUUACAAUGGAAGCUCCUCGAGAGCAGGCACCUUGUCUGUCUUCACUGCUGUAUCUAUUCCCAUCGCCUCAUGACAGUGCCUGGCACAUAGUAGGCACUCAAUAAAUACUUGUUCAAUGAAAAAAAAA
RNAcentral lists this long non-coding RNA (530 nucleotides) under Rattus norvegicus (Norway rat). Its description in RNAcentral is "long non-coding RNA NONRATT008942". Lineage: Eukaryota; Metazoa; Chordata; Mammalia; Rodentia; Muridae. The record is from RNAcentral.